RNAcentral lists this long non-coding RNA (317 nucleotides) under Nicotiana benthamiana. RNAcentral describes it as "long non-coding RNA (NBEN_LNC030658)". Lineage: Eukaryota; Viridiplantae; Streptophyta; Magnoliopsida; Solanales; Solanaceae. The record is from RNAcentral.
GAGGCACAUUGAAAGACCUCAUGUAUUUGACACAUUCUGCAUGUCCUUUAAUAGAGAGAUUAAAGCAGCCUAGCCUAUCCCCAGAUAAGGAAUCUGCACCGCAUUGUAAAACCACAGCACCAGGCUUGAAAACUUCCAUCACUUUGCCCAUUAUUGGCUUAAAGAGGGACUGAUAAACCACAGCACCAGGCUUGAAAACUUCCAUAACUUUGCCCAUUAUUGGCUUAAAGAGGGACUGAUAGCUCUCAUCAUCAAUUCCAUCGUCUAGUGGAACAUUAAGAGAGUAGUAUUUUCCCUUUCCAAAUCCAAUAUCACGU